AGAGUUUGAUCCUGGCUCAGGAUGAACGCUAGCGGGAGGCUUAACACAUGCAAGUCGAGGGGCAACAGGAGUAGCAAUACUUGCUGGCGACCGGCGCACGGGUGAGUAACGCGUAUGCAACCUACCCAUAACAGGGGGAUAGCUUCCGGAAACGGAAAUUAAUACCCCAUAGGAUUCAAAGGCCGCAUGGUCAAUGGAUUAAAACUACGGUGGUUAUGGAUGGGCAUGCGUGCCAUUAGCUAGUUGGCGGGGUAACGGCCCACCAAGGCGACGAUGGCUAGGGGGUCUAAAAGGAUGAUCCCCCACACUGGUACUGAGACACGGACCAGACUCCUACGGGAGGCAGCAGUGAGGAAGAUUGGUCAAUGGGCGAGAGCCUGAACCAGCCAUCCCGCGUGCAGGAAGACGGCCCUAUGGGUUGUAAACUGCUUUUUUAUGGGAAGAAAAAGCUCUACGUGUAGGGCACUGACGGUACCAUAUGAAUAAGCAUCGGCUAACUCCGUGCCAGCAGCCGCGGUAAUACGGAGGAAGCGAGCGUUAUCCGGAUUUAUUAAGUUUAAAGGGUGUGUAGGCGGAUUAUUAAGUCAGUGGUGAAAUCUCAGAGCUUAACUCUGAAACUGCCAUUGAUACUGGUAAUCUUGAGUACAGUUGAAGUAGGCGGAAUGUGUAAUGUAGCGGUGAAAUGCUUAGAUAUUACACAGAACACCGAUUGCGAAGGCAGCUUACUAAGCUGUUACUGACGCUGAUGCACGAAAGCGUGGGGA
Molecule: ribosomal RNA, 764 nt
Filed under: uncultured bacterium
Lineage: Bacteria
Description: bacterial SSU rRNA
Rfam family: Bacterial small subunit ribosomal RNA
Source: RNAcentral